RNAcentral lists this ribosomal RNA (221 nucleotides) under uncultured bacterium. RNAcentral's name for it is "partial 16S ribosomal RNA". It matches the Rfam family "Bacterial small subunit ribosomal RNA", at positions 113 to 334 of the family's 1533-position model. The record is from RNAcentral.
CGACGUGGAUAGCCUGCCUCACACUGGGGGAUAACAGUUAGAAAUGACUGCUAAUACCGCAUAAGCGCACAGCACCGCAUGGUACAGUGUGAAAAACUCCGGUGGUGUGAGAUGGAUCCGCGUCUGAUUAGCCAGUUGGCGGGGUAACGGCCCACCAAAGCGACGAUCAGUAGCCGACCUGAGAGGGUGACCGGCCACAUUGGGACUGAGACACGGCCCAA